AAAAUAGGCAGAAGGCCGUUUGAAUUCCAACAUUCCAGAAUUCUGGGACAGCUUCCAGGACUGGCGGCUGCUCCCGAAAUCCCAGGAACGUUCCGGUACUUCUGGGGACGGAAGUGGAGCACCAGCCAGAGCCGUCCCUGGCCCCCUGGCCUGGGAACAUGCUUAGAGGAUGACAAUUGGGCUCCCUUCAGCCGAAAUUCCACUCCCGUGGGGGCCUUGCCAAGGAAAACAAGCCCAAGAACUGGGCAUUGAAGCUACGAGACCGAAGGUCCUGGAUUCCAAAGCGACCUGAGUCCUUCAAGAGAAUGGAGCUCAGUCCGUCCUCAGUUGACAAGGAGUAGCUGACCCUGGAGAGAGCCAGGCAAGAGGUGGAGAAAGCAAAAAUCAUUUCUUAAACACCUACUGUGUCCCUGACACUGAGUUGAGCCUUAAGAGUACACUGUGAAUCAACCAGAUGAAAAUAUCUGCCCUGGCGGAGCUGACAAGGAAACAAACAAGAUGUGUAGGAGCCCUGCAGGCGUGAGCAUCUGGCUCUGAUGGCUGUCCCGGCCCCAAGACGCCCGGUACCAGGAGGAGGUGGGGCUGUGAAUGGGCACGCACCACACAGACCAGUCUUGAGCCUGCGUCUCUGCCCCUCCCUGAUGGGGAGACCAGGGCAGCACCUGUCCCAUCAGGGCCUCGGUUUCUUCAUCUGCACAAUGUGGGCAAGAAGCUGGCCUGCCCCUCGGGGCCUGCACUUGGUUCUCACAGGGACACAGACACGUCCCAUCUCCCUGGCUGCAUGUCAGGCCCCAACCUCCCACACCAACAGCCAUCCUGACUGCC
Cervus elaphus (red deer) is the source of this 825-nucleotide long non-coding RNA. RefSeq lists it as uncharacterized. The transcript has 3 exons. Lineage: Eukaryota; Metazoa; Chordata; Mammalia; Artiodactyla; Cervidae. The record is from RefSeq and is a predicted model, not a curated record.